GACGAACGCUGGCGGCGUGCUUAACACAUGCAAGUCGAACGGAAAGGCCCUGCUUUUGUGGGGUGCUCGAGUGGCGAACGGGUGAGUAACACGUGAGUAACCUGCCCUUGACUUUGGGAUAACUUCAGGAAACUGGGGCUAAUACCGGAUAGGAGCUCCUGCUGCAUGGUGGGGGUUGGAAAGUUUCGGCGGUUGGGGAUGGACUCGCGGCUUACCAGCUUGUUGGUGGGGUAGUGGCUUACCAAGGCUUUGACGGGUAGCCGGCAUGAGAGGGUGACCGGCCACAUUGGGACUGAGAUACGGCCCAGACUCCUACGGGAGGCAGCAGUGGGGAAUAUUGCACAAUGGGCGGAAGCCUGAUGCAGCAACGCCGCGUGCGGGAUGACGGCCUUCGGGUUGUAAACCGCUUUCGCCUGUGACGAAGCGUGAGUGACGGUAAUGGGUAAAGAAGCACCGGCUAACUACGUG
RNAcentral lists this ribosomal RNA (468 nucleotides) under uncultured bacterium. RNAcentral describes it as "partial 16S ribosomal RNA". It matches the Rfam family "Bacterial small subunit ribosomal RNA", at positions 28 to 507 of the family's 1533-position model. The record is from RNAcentral.